Molecule: ribosomal RNA, 319 nt
Filed under: uncultured eukaryote
Lineage: Eukaryota
Description: partial 18S ribosomal RNA
Rfam family: Eukaryotic small subunit ribosomal RNA
Source: RNAcentral
CCCUUAGAUGUUCUGGGCUGCACGCGUGCUACAAUGGCGUUUCCAGCAAGUCUGCGAACCCGAGAGGGCCAGCGGAUCUUCGAAUUGGCGUCGUGAUCGGGACAGUCGAUUGCAAUUAUUUGACUCAAACGAGGAAUUCCUUGUAAUCGCGAUUCAUCAUAUCGCGCUGAAUACGUCCCUGCCCUUUGUGCACACCGCCCGUCGCUCCUACCGAUUGAGCGAUCCGGUAAAUGUUUUGGAUUGGUGCCGGGGCGGCUAGCUGCCGGUCGCUACGAAAUUUUGUGAACCUUAUCGCUUAGAGGAAGGAAAAGUCGUAACA